GGAGGAGAGGUGGCAAUGUUACCCCUCGCCGGUCACUUUACACAGGGUCGAAAUCUAUUGUUCACGUAGGGGGGGAAAGUUAUUUGUCACAAGCGCCGAAUUCGACCGGUGUAGUAGACCUCACAGUGAAAUGCUGAAUACAACAGGUGUAGUAGACCUUACCGUGAAAUGCUGAAUACAACAGGUGUAGUAGACCUUACAGUGAAAUGCUGAAUACAACAGGUGUAGUAGACCUUACAGUGAAAUGCUGAAUACAACAGGUGUAGUAGACCUUACAGUGAAAUGCUGAAUACAACAGGUGUAGUAGACCUUACAGUGAAAUGCUGAAUACAACAGGUGUAGUAGACCUUACAGUGAAAUGCUGAAUACAACAGGUGUAGUAGACCUUACAGUGAAAUGCUGAAUACAACAGGUGUAGUAGACCUUACAGUGAAAUGCUGAAUACAACAGGUGUAGUAGACCUUACAGUGAAAUGCUGAAUACAACAGGUGUAGUAGACCUAACAGUGAAAUGCUGAAUACAACAGGUGUAGUAGACCUUACAGUGAAAUGCUGAAUACAACAGGUGUAGUAGACCUUACCGUGAAAUGCUGAAUACAACAGGUGUAGUAGACCUUACAGUGAAAUGCUGAAUACAACAGGUGUAGUAGACCUUACAGUGAAAUGCUGAAUACAACAGGUGUAGUAGACCUUACAGUGAAAUGCUGAAUACAACAGGUGUAGUAGACCUUACCGUGAAAUGCUGAAUUACAACAGGUGUAGUAGACCUAACAGUGAAAUGCUGAAUACAACAGGUGUAGUAGACCUUACCGUGAAAUGCUGAAUACAACAGGUGUAGUAGACCUUACAGUGAAAUGCUGAAUACAACAGGUGUAGUAGACCUAACAGUGAAAUGCUGAAUACAACAGGUGUAGUAGACCUAACAGUGAAAUGCUGAAUACAACAGGUGUAGUAGACC
Molecule: long non-coding RNA, 957 nt
Organism: Oncorhynchus keta (chum salmon)
Lineage: Eukaryota; Metazoa; Chordata; Actinopteri; Salmoniformes; Salmonidae
Exons: 6
Source: RefSeq, a predicted model, not a curated record